This 496-nucleotide ribosomal RNA is filed under the name uncultured bacterium. Its description in RNAcentral is "partial 16S ribosomal RNA". It matches the Rfam family "Bacterial small subunit ribosomal RNA", at positions 29 to 507 of the family's 1533-position model. The record is from RNAcentral.
AUGAACGCUGGCGGCGUGCCUCAUACAUGCAAGUCGAGCGAACGGACGAGAAGCUUGCUUCUCUGAUGUUAGCGGCGGACGGGUGAGUAACACGUGGAUAACCUACCUAUAAGACUGGGAUAACUUCGGGAAACCGGAGCUAAUACCGGAUAAUAUUUUGCACCGCAUGGUUCAAAAGUGAAAGACGGUCUUGCUGUCACUUAUAGAUGGAUCCGCGCUGCAUUAGCUAGUUGGUAAGGUAACGGCUUACCAAGGCAACGAUGCAUAGCCGACCUGAGAGGGUGAUCGGCCACACUGGAACUGAGACACGGUCCAGACUCCUACGGGAGGCAGCAGUAGGGAAUCUUCCGCAAUGGGCGAAAGCCUGACGGAGCAACGCCGAGUGAGUGAUGAAGGUCUUCGGAUCGUAAAACUCUGUUAUUAGGGAAGAACAUAUGUGUAAGUAACUGUGCACAUCUUGACGGUACCUAAUCAGAAAGCCACGGCUAACUACGUG